This 185-nucleotide ribosomal RNA is filed under the name uncultured bacterium. RNAcentral describes it as "partial 16S ribosomal RNA". It matches the Rfam family "Bacterial small subunit ribosomal RNA", at positions 521 to 705 of the family's 1533-position model. The record is from RNAcentral.
UAAUACGUAGGGUGCGAGCGUUAAUCGGAAUUACUGGGCGUAAAGCGUGCGCAGGCGGUUCGUUAAGUUCGAUGUGAAAGCCCCGGGCUCAACCUGGGAACUGCAUUGGAAACUGGCGAGCUUGAAUGCGGCAGAGGGGGGUGGAAUUCCGCGUGUAGCAGUGAAAUGCGUAGAGAUGCGGAGGA